UGGGAUAACAUGGUGGCAGAAGGAACUGAAACCUGGAUAGCUCCUGAAUAUUGCAUGAAGGACCCUCCUGCAAAUGUGGCCAACGUCUCAGUCCCCAGCAAAUUGAUGUGUUCUCUCCACGCAAGCAAAUCAAGGUCGACGAUGUUUGUUUACCAAAGUAAGACUUGUUCCACAUACGACGGCCUCAAUGAAGCUUCCUAUUCGACUCUGGUAUUCGCCAGGAAAACUUCUCCCGCUCUGUUGGAGGAAGUCGCCAGGGGAAAGAACACCUUCACUAGUCAGCAGUGUCCGAACCAUGUAAAAGAAAAUGCAGUCGACGGAAACGUAACAACCUUAUACCACUCUGAGGUCAAGUAAACCCUUUCUGGACAGUCGAUUUGGGAGAAGUCCGGAACGUAUCUGGUCAGGAUCCUUCCUAAUGGCAAC
Long non-coding RNA from Macrobrachium nipponense, 426 nucleotides. RefSeq lists it as uncharacterized. The record is from RefSeq and is a predicted model, not a curated record. Lineage: Eukaryota; Metazoa; Arthropoda; Malacostraca; Decapoda; Palaemonidae. The transcript is spliced from 3 exons.